This 552-nucleotide unclassified non-coding RNA is filed under the name uncultured bacterium. RNAcentral's name for it is "partial contains 16S ribosomal RNA, 16S-23S ribosomal RNA intergenic spacer, and 23S ribosomal RNA". The stretch from base 439 to 552 matches the Rfam family "Bacterial large subunit ribosomal RNA", at positions 1 to 114 of the family's 2925-position model. The record is from RNAcentral.
UCUGGAGCGGGGACAUCCGCUUCCGGAUUCUAACAAAGGAUGGACAUAGCAGACGAGGCGACUUUCAGGUCACACGUGCUGCUUCAUCGUGAGCAACUAUCAUACUAAUCCCUCACCACGAGGCGAGGAAAACAGUCCUUACCGGGGGAUUAUAUCAUAGUCCCUUAGCUCAGUUGGUUAGAGCGCUACACUGAUAAUGUAGAGGUCGGCAGUUCAACUCUGCCAGGGACUACUUGAAAAGAGGACAUUGACAUGCUGGAAGCGAGUCAUGACGCCCGAAAGGCGUUAUGAGAAGCGAAUCAAAACGAGUAACCAAAACAGAAAUCGAGCAAUCGAAAUCAAAUCGAAGCAGCCGGUCGCAAAGCCGGCGCUCGGAAACAAAACAAGUUUCGGAGAGCGAGCCUCGAGAUGUUCGAACCGAUUGAAACCAAGGUCAUAAAGAAAGGAGAGAAGGGCACAUGAAGGAUGCCUGGGCUCUCGGAGGCGACGAAGGACGUGAUAAGCUGCGAUAAGCCGCGGGGAGGAGCAAAUAUCCCCUGAUCCGCGGAUCUC